CAUCAGCAAUGUAUCCAAAUCAGUUCGCACUAAAACAUACUCCAAAAAAUCAGAGUUUCCAUGCACCAACGUGUAAAGUAAUAGGGCAGCAGUUUCAUCACCCAAGCACAUGCCAAGAGUAUCAAAUAGAGAUGCAAAUGGUAAUCUCACAAGUGACCCAUUGUGUGCAUUCCCCUCAAUAUCUACACGAUCAAGUUCAAUAUCCCUUGCACUUUCUAAUGCUUUGCAGUAAGGAUUGUCAGAGAAAUAUGUAUUUACUUUGGGAAGAGAUUCUGAAGCAGCACUAUCAUCACUUCUGUCCGUUACAGGCUCAUCACCCACAAUGCAUUUAUGAUAAUAAUUAAGUAUAAGCAAGACAUGAAGGCUACAGUCGGCCAAUGGAUUUCUUAUGCCUUCAACAUUUGAACUGACCAAAUAAUUGAAUGGCAGUAACACAAAAGUAGCAGCUGCAGAACCAACUCUUUGCAAAACUCCUGGCUGACUCCCUUCAGAAAAUACAGGAUAAGAUGUACUGUUCAAUGGAAUGCGAGGCCGCAUUAUAUAAUUGAGUAGCAGUCUGCGAACAACCAAACUCACCAAAGAACUUUCCUGAGCCAUUGCUGCAUCAAUAAAAAGAUUCAUAUCUGUUGGUCCUGGGGAUGGACCAUAAAGAAGUUGGGAUGACAUUGCAAUAAGCAUGAAGCUAAGCAACUCCUGAUGUAGGAGGUAUGUGUUCGCACUUACAUCUACAGAACCAAUAAAGCUAAGCACACUAUGCAUGACAAGAUUCUCAAUGUUUAUAUCUCUUAUGAAACCAUCUGGUACUGGUUCGCUUUCAUCCAAUGACAGACACAAGUCCUCAAUGUUUUUGCUUUGGGCAUUUUCAAUUAAGUACUUCAAGAAAACAGAUGAAAUGUACACUGCAUUGAUGGCCUUCGUAUAAACUGGGGAUGGUGCACCAGAAGUUGAAAUGGACUCUUGCAAACAUUGCGUUAGGUGAAUCAAAAUCUUUGCAAGAUGCCUAGUAUAACAGUUGUUUUGUGCAAAGCGCUGGCAGGCUUCCUGGACGCGGUCGGUGGGCCAACGGAGAUUGAGAGGGAGUUCCAGAAGUUUCUGCCAGAAAUCUGAGGCAAGCGGGAAAGAUUUUUCGCCGACAAAUGAACCAAUUAAAUACUCCGCCGUGUCUUGUGGGCGUGCGCUGCCCCGUCGCGGCGUUGAAGGCACUGCUCCCAUUGGAAUUCGAAGCGCUUGACUCGUUGGUUCAGUGCGCGGGUCAACUGUGCUCAGAGACCGAUUCAGGAGAUCUUAACCAGCAUUACAGAGAAAGAUAGAAAGAGUUACAGUUUUGGAUCUGUUCGGCUUUCGGGAGAUAAUGAAAAUGGAAACGGAGUUCUGCUCGUGAUGAAGGAAAUAG
Molecule: unclassified non-coding RNA, 1393 nt
Filed under: Hevea brasiliensis (rubber tree)
Lineage: Eukaryota; Viridiplantae; Streptophyta; Magnoliopsida; Malpighiales; Euphorbiaceae
Source: RNAcentral